Molecule: ribosomal RNA, 499 nt
Filed under: uncultured bacterium
Lineage: Bacteria
Description: partial 16S ribosomal RNA
Rfam family: Bacterial small subunit ribosomal RNA
Source: RNAcentral
UCCUCCCUCUUUCUUCGUGCCUAAUACAUGCAAGUCGAGCGGACUUUCAAGAAGCUUGCUUUUUGAAAGUUAGCGGCGGACGGGUGAGUAACACGUGGGCAACCUGCCUGCAAGACGGGGAUAACUCCGGGAAACCGGGGCUAAUACCGGAUAAUAUCUUCCUUCGCAUGAAGGAAGGUUGAAAGGCGGCGCAAGCUGCCGCUUGCAGAUGGGCCCGCGGCGCAUUAGCUAGUUGGUGAGGUAACGGCUCACCAAGGCGACGAUGCGUAGCCGACCUGAGAGGGUGAUCGGCCACACUGGGACUGAGACACGGCCCAGACUCCUACGGGAGGCAGCAGUAGGGAAUCUUCCGCAAUGGACGAAAGUCUGACGGAGCAACGCCGCGUGAGCGAAGAAGGUCUUCGGAUCGUAAAGCUCGGUUGUCAGGGAAGAACAAGUACCGUUCGAACAGGGCGGUACCUUGACGGUACCUGACCAGAAAGCCACGGCUAACUACGUG